RNAcentral lists this RNase P RNA (297 nucleotides) under bovine gut metagenome. RNAcentral describes it as "Bacterial RNase P class B". It matches the Rfam family "Bacterial RNase P class B". Rfam says of the family: Ribonuclease P (RNase P) is a ubiquitous endoribonuclease, found in archaea, bacteria and eukarya as well as chloroplasts and mitochondria. Its best characterised activity is the generation of mature 5'-ends of tRNAs by cleaving the 5'-leader elements of precursor-tRNAs. The record is from RNAcentral.
UCUUAACGGAGAGGAAAGUCCAUGCUCGCACCUCCUGCGAUGGAGGUAGUGAUUGCGCUGAGGGAAGAAAUAACCUCAGGUGCGGCAGCGCGCAACGGAAGGCGAACGUCCCCCGCGGACGGGAACCCAUAAAGGCGCCACAGAGACGAGCUUGAUGGCAACAUCAAGAUGAAACGAGGCAAGCCCCGCAAGCGAGAAACCCAAAAUUGGUAGGGGAAGCGCCCAAAGCGAAUUGAAGCCGAGGGGGCCAGGGAAACCUGAGAUAAAUUGCCGUCCCCGACAAAACAUGGCUUAUAG